Molecule: ribosomal RNA, 301 nt
Filed under: uncultured bacterium
Lineage: Bacteria
Description: partial 16S ribosomal RNA
Rfam family: Bacterial small subunit ribosomal RNA
Source: RNAcentral
CAGCCGCCACGGGAAUACGUAGGUGGCAAGCGUUGUCCGGAAUUAUUGGGCGUAAAGGGCUCGCAGGCGGUUUCUUAAGUCUGAUGUGAAAGCCCCCGGCUCAACCGGGGAGGGUCAUUGGAAACUGGGAAACUUGAGUGCAGAAGAGGAGAGUGGAAUUCCACGUGUAGCGGUGAAAUGCGUAGAGAUGUGGGGGAACACCAGUGGCGAAGGCGACUCUCUGGUCUGUAACUGACGCUGAGGAGCGAAAGCGUGGGGAGCGAACAGGAUUAGAUACCCCCGUAGUCCCUGUCUCUUAUAC